This 230-nucleotide long non-coding RNA is filed under the name Glycine max (soybean). RNAcentral describes it as "long non-coding RNA (GMAX_LNC003431)". Lineage: Eukaryota; Viridiplantae; Streptophyta; Magnoliopsida; Fabales; Fabaceae. The record is from RNAcentral.
GUUGAAGUGCCGUCACUUACCUCACCUUCGCUCUCACCAACCUCGCUUCGGCUUGCUCCGCCGCAAGCCCUAAAAACACAGGUAGACCACCUCCAGAGAGCCGCCAUCAUCGACCGCAUUGACGGAUCCGCAGAUUUGCAGCCUCCACCAAUCUAUGUCAAACCUUUCUCUUCCUCCAUCUCGACUCCUUCCCUGUCCGUCGUCGUGGCGCUCUCCUCUUUCCUCUCCAC